GAUUAACGCUAGCGGGAUGCCUAAUACUUGCAGAUCGAACGAAGUAUUUAUACUUAGUGGCGAGCGGGUGAGUAACACGUAUCCAACAUACCCAUAAGAGGGGGAUAACUAGUUGAAAAACUAGCUAAUACCCCAUAGCAUAUUUUUACAUAAGUAUUAAUAUUUAAAGUUGCGUUUGCAACACUUUUGGAUUGGGGUGCGACGUAUUAGAUUGUUGGUGAGGUAAUGGCUCACCAAGUCGAUGAUGCGUAGCUGUGCUGAGAGGCAGAACAGCCACAAUGGGACUGAGACACGGCCCAUACUUCUACGGAAGGCAGCAGUAGGGAAUUUUCCACAAUGGGCGAAAGCCUGAUGGAGCAAUCCCGCGUGAACGAUGAAGGUCCUACAAGAUUGUAAAGUUCUUUUAUUGGGGAAGAAAUGUAAGAAAAGGAAAUGUUUUUUAUUUGACGGUACCCUUUGAAUAAGUAUCGGCUAACUAUGUGCCAGCAGCCGCGGUAAUACAUAGGAUGCAAGCGUUAUCCGGAUUUACUGGGCGUAAAGCGAGCGCAGGCGGAUUUACAAGUCUGAUGUUAAAGACAACUGCUUAACGGUUGUUUGCAUUGGAAACUGUAAGUCUAGAGUAUAGUAGAGAGUUUUUGGAACUCCAUGUGGAGCGGUGGAAUGCGUAGAUAUAUGGAAGAACACCAGAGGCGAAGGCGAAAACUUAGGCUAUAACUGACGCUUAGGCUCGAAAGUGUGGGGAGCAAAUAGG
Molecule: ribosomal RNA, 751 nt
Filed under: uncultured bacterium
Lineage: Bacteria
Description: bacterial SSU rRNA
Rfam family: Bacterial small subunit ribosomal RNA
Source: RNAcentral